Long non-coding RNA from Oncorhynchus nerka (sockeye salmon), 641 nucleotides. RefSeq lists it as uncharacterized. The transcript has 3 exons. The record is from RefSeq and is a predicted model, not a curated record. NCBI's taxonomy places the organism in Eukaryota, Metazoa, Chordata, Actinopteri, Salmoniformes, Salmonidae.
UUUCCUGUACAUCUCUCUGACACACACACACCUUUUCUCUACACACUCUCUCACACACACAUUCUCUCUCUCUACACACACUUCCUGUCUGCUAAAUAACAGUGUCAGGAAUAUCAUCUAUCAUGGUGGGCUACUGUCCCAUCUGUGGGAAACCUGUCUACUUUGGUGAGAAGAAGAGGUCAUUGGGGAGGGACUACCACCCUCUGUGUCUGAAGUGUCAACUGUGUCAGAGACAGUUGACCCCGGGACAACAUGCUGAGGUAACAGGAGAAUGAUGUCAAACUGUCACAGCUCAGCCUCCUCUUCCUCCUCCUAGGAACCAGUCUAACAAACCAAAAACCAACCAAAAUACAACCUAAUGAGAACUAACGGGCUAUCAACAAGGAUCUAUGUUCAACAAACCUGAUAUUCAGCCAUCAAGCCAAUGACCAACCAACUAGACCCAACAUUCAGUCAACCAACGUUUGACCAACCAAGAAAUAACCAAUAGACAACCAAGCUGACAUUGAACAAACUACCAUCCAACCAACAGACAUCAGUGUCACUCUGAAAGAUCCCCUCUAUCAGUCAAUCAUAAAACACCAUGAUGUUGUGUUCAAUGGAGACAACGGUUGUUCUUCAAUAAAACAGAAGCUUCUACA